Molecule: ribosomal RNA, 490 nt
Filed under: uncultured bacterium
Lineage: Bacteria
Description: partial 16S ribosomal RNA
Rfam family: Bacterial small subunit ribosomal RNA
Source: RNAcentral
AUUGAACGCUGGCGGCAGGCCUAACACAUGCAAGUCGAACGGUAACAGGAAGCAGCUUGCUGCUUUGCUGACGAGUGGCGGACGGGUGAGUAAUGUCUGGGAAACUGCCCGAUGGAGGGGGAUAACUACUGGAAACGGUUGCUAAUACCGCAUAACGUCGCAAGACCAAAGAGGGGGACCUUAGGGCCUCUUGCCAUCGGAUGUCCCCAGAUGGGAUUAGCUAGUAGGUGGGGUAACGGCUCACCUAGGCGACGAUCCCUAGCUGGUCUGAGAGGAUGACCAGCCACACUGGAACUGAGACACGGUCCAGACUCCUACGGGAGGCAGCAGUGGGGAAUAUUGCACAAUGGGCGCAAGCCUGAUGCAGCCAUGCCGCGUGUAUGAAGAAGGCCUUCGGGUUGUAAAGUACUUUCAGCGGGGAGGAAGGGAGUAAAGUUAAUACCUUUGCUCAUUGACGUUACCCGCAGAAGAAGCACCGGCUAACUCCGUG